Molecule: non-coding RNA, 1172 nt
Organism: Manis javanica (Malayan pangolin)
Lineage: Eukaryota; Metazoa; Chordata; Mammalia; Pholidota; Manidae
Source: RefSeq, a predicted model, not a curated record
UUAUCAUCUUUUUGGAGAGCAGAUAUCUUUGGCAAUCUCACAAGUAUGCCUUCUUCAAGAUAAAAAAUUAAAGUGCCACAAAGAACAAAAAUGAGCCCAGGACCAGACACAUGCUAGAAGCCAUUGGACACAUUCAUUUUCAAUUUUUCUUCUUGAUCAGGAAAUGGAAACACUUGAGCUAAAAUAACUGGCCGGAGGUGUGCAACUAUGGUGACAGAGCUGGAUGGGAGAGCACAGAAGUCUGGCUUCAGCGUCUGUGUGAUAAACUUCUCAUGGAGUAUCUGCCCCAGAGCAGGAAGCCACUGGGCGAUGCUUCUCUGGGCUUCCUCCUGCACCUGUGUGGGACACAGGUCCCAGAUCACUUUCCUAUAGAUUUCCACAGUGACUAUGCCGGGGUGGUUGAUAUUUUUUCCGUAUGUUGCAGUGUUCCAGAAUGAAUUAUGCUAAAAUUGUAAAUAUGGAAUUUGCCCUCAAGCAAAGCACUGUGCACCACUGACCUAGACCAGAAGCAGCUCUGCACUGGCAUUCAAACGUCAUUCUCCCUCUCAACUGCGGGAAUGCUUUGGUUCCUAUUAUAUUUCUGACCUUUCAUAUUCUUGGUGGUGCAUCUGCUAAAACUCAAGCCAGACACCAAGAACUGCAUCCUUUCUGUGCUUUGAAAGCUUCUGCAUUGUGUGCUCAGCUAUACUGCUGCAUCUACAGAUUGCCAUCUCUGAGAAGCAGCCCCAUGAACUUGAGGAUGGUGGCAAUCCCAAGUGAAGCAUAUAAUUGGAUGGAAGAACAGAGAAGAGAAGAUGAAUGGGGGCCUAUGGUGCUAAAACAGGAUGUUAAAAUGGGCAUUUUGACUAGAGCCCCAAGGUAUAAAUAUAAGACACCAACUGGGGCACUAGACCAAGAAAAGCAUGUUCAAAGCAGGUACUGGGAACCCAUCAGAGCUCCCCAGUCCCCCGUGCAAUGGUGAUGAAAAGAGGGAUUCUAAAGAGAAUUUCUCUGGUGCGACUCACCCGGAUGCUGUGAGUUCCAGGGCCACCCCCAAGAGGAAGGGUGGGGGGUGCUGCUCCCUCACCUGGGGCAAGAGGAAGGGCUUGAGUUCACUCGGCCAGCAUAAUAUUGGUCCCCAGCACCCAGGCAGAGGAGUGUCUGAUUCAUACCUGAAGACACGUAAAGCCUGC